RNAcentral lists this ribosomal RNA (496 nucleotides) under uncultured bacterium. RNAcentral's name for it is "partial 16S ribosomal RNA". It matches the Rfam family "Bacterial small subunit ribosomal RNA", at positions 30 to 523 of the family's 1533-position model. The record is from RNAcentral.
AUUGAACGCUGGCGGAAUGCUUUACACAUGCAAGUCGAACGGUAGAGGGGGCAACCCCUCGAGAGUGGCGAACGGGUGAGUAAUAUAUCGGAACGUGCCCAGUCGUGGGGGAUAACGUAGCGAAAGUUACGCUAAUACCGCAUACGAUCUAAGGAUGAAAGCGGGGGAUCGCAAGACCUCGCGCGAUUGGAGCGGCCGAUAUCAGAUUAGGUAGUUGGUGGGGUAAAGGCUCACCAAGCCAACGAUCUGUAGCUGGUCUGAGAGGACGACCAGCCACCCGGGAACUGAGCAACGGUCCAGACUCCUACGGGAGGCAGCAGUGGGGAAUUUUGGACAAUGGACGCAAGUCUGAUCCAGCCAUUCCGCGUGCAGGAUGAAGGCCCUCGGGUUGUAAACUGCUUUUGUACGGAACGAAAAGGUCUCUCUUAAUACGGGGGGCUCAUGACGGUACCGUAAGAAUAAGCACCGGCUAACUACGUGCCAGCCGCCGCAGUAA